This 253-nucleotide ribosomal RNA is filed under the name uncultured bacterium. RNAcentral's name for it is "partial 16S ribosomal RNA". It matches the Rfam family "Bacterial small subunit ribosomal RNA", at positions 524 to 776 of the family's 1533-position model. The record is from RNAcentral.
UACGUAGGGUCCGAGCGUUGUCCGGAAUUACUGGGCGUAAAGAGCUCGUAGGUGGUUUGUCGCGUUGUUCGUGAAAACUCACAGCUUAACUGUGGGCGUGCGGGCGAUACGGGCAGACUUGAGUACUGCAGGGGAGACUGGAAUUCCUGGUGUAGCGGUGGAAUGCGCAGAUAUCAGGAGGAACACCGGUGGCGAAGGCGGGUCUCUGGGCAGUAACUGACGCUGAGGAGCGAGAGCGUGGGGAGCGAACAGG